Parasteatoda tepidariorum (common house spider) is the source of this 946-nucleotide non-coding RNA. Lineage: Eukaryota; Metazoa; Arthropoda; Arachnida; Araneae; Theridiidae. The record is from RefSeq and is a predicted model, not a curated record.
AGGGGACUCAAACAGGGAUGUUAUAGGCUCUCAGUCAUUGAAUGAUGGAUAGACGACGUUGAAAAGGACCUCAAGCUAUUGGGAGUCAACCGAUGGCGGGCCGUCGCACCGGACAGGGCCAGAUGGAGGAAAAUCUGCGAGUCAGCCUUGGCCUGUGAAAGGCUGUUGCGCUUAUGAAGAAGAAGAAGAAUGACUCUGUUUUCUAACUCUCCUCUCUUUUUAUUUUAAGUCUAAAAUUGCCUGUAUUCUGUAGCAAUGCUUAUUAUUUUUUUUAUACCUUGCUUAAUAGGGUUAAAAUCCUUUAUUUCUGUUUUCUGUGUAAUUUAUUUAUUGAACUGUUUUUUUUAAAUUAUUAUUUACUAUUAGAAAAUUCUUAAUAUUUUAAUAAUUAACUUUAGUAUUGUAAAUAUUUAUUAAGCUGUGUAACCAUUUUGGUAUGUUAUGUUUAAAUGCUCUUACCCUUUUAUGCUUUUUUUUUCUUUUCUCCAAGCUUUGGACAUGUGCCUAGGUCAAUAUGGACCCUUUAGCUUGCCCAAACUUGGCUACUGGUCCGGCUCUACACCAGCCUAGGAACGAACCCAGUCAGCAAGAAUUUAUUGAGAAUUUAGAUACGUACAAAAUCCUUUUAUGCUUUAAAGUUAUAUAUAUUUACACCAGAUAUCUGCAGCAUUUUUGAUUUUAAAACUUGUACUUUGUCUUUUACCAACUUAAUAAGCCUUUAAUUUAAGUAAGAAAAAUGAAAACUUUUAGAGCCACUCCUUGACUAUAAUUUGUUUUAACCUUCAACAUUCUGAGCAUUAAUUUAAACAAUUUUUUGUUACAACUUUUUUCUAUCCUUACUGAUUGAUUUUUUCCAUUCUUGCAUUUAUAUUUGUUAAACAUUUAAUGAUUCACUAUGUUCUAUAUUUUUCUGGUUCUUGUUGCAAAUAAAUUUUAUUUUAAUAUG